UCACGGUUUACACCGGCAGUCUUGCUAGAGUUCCCACCAUUACGUGCUGGCAACUAACAACAGGGGUUGCGCUCGUUAUAGGACUUAACCUGACACCUCACGGCACGAGCUGACGACAACCAUGCAGCACCUUGUAAAUUGUCCGAAGAAAAAUCUGUUUCCAAAUCUGUCAAUCUACAUUUAAGCCCUGGUAAGGUUCCUCGCGUAUCAUCGAAUUAAACCACAUGCUCCACCGCUUGUGCGGGCCCCCGUCAAUUCCUUUGAGUUUCAAACUUGCGUUCGUACUCCCCAGGUGGGAUACUUAUCACUUUCGCUUAGUCACUCAGUCCGAAAACCAAACAACUAGUAUCCAUCGUUUACGGCGUGGACUAC
This 372-nucleotide unclassified non-coding RNA is filed under the name uncultured Flavobacteriaceae bacterium. RNAcentral's name for it is "contains 16S-23S intergenic spacer region". Lineage: Bacteria; Pseudomonadati; Bacteroidota; Flavobacteriia; Flavobacteriales; Flavobacteriaceae. The record is from RNAcentral.